UACGAAGGGGGUUAGCGUUGUUCGGAAUUACUGGGCGUAAAGCGCACGUAGGCGGGUGGUUAAGUCAGGGGUGAAAUCCCGGAGCUCAACUCCGGAACUGCCUUUGAUACUGGCCAUCUAGAGAUCGGAAGAGGUGAGUGGAAUUCCCAGUGUAGAGGUGAAAUUCGUAGAUAUUGGGAAGAACACCAGUGGCGAAGGCGACUUUCUGGACCGUAACUGACGCUGAGGCAUGAAAGCGUGGGGAGCAAACAGG
Molecule: ribosomal RNA, 253 nt
Filed under: uncultured bacterium
Lineage: Bacteria
Description: partial 16S ribosomal RNA
Rfam family: Bacterial small subunit ribosomal RNA
Source: RNAcentral